RNAcentral lists this non-coding RNA (236 nucleotides) under uncultured Nitzschia. The record is from RNAcentral. Lineage: Eukaryota; Bacillariophyta; Bacillariophyceae; Bacillariales; Bacillariaceae.
AAAACACGGCGUGCUUCAUUUACACCCAGGCAUGUCUGUACGUCUUUGCAUUCGUCAUCACGUAUGUUUGGUUAGGCAUGACGACCCUUGCAAGCAUCACUACCUAUAGCAUCGAGCCGGAAAUCCAUAGGAACAAUCGUUUCUUCUGGCCGCUUCAAGGAUUCUGGAAUUUUAUUAUCUUUGUCCGACCAGUGUAUCAUCACAUGCGGAGGAAAGAAAAAGAUACAAAUUGGUUC